This 253-nucleotide ribosomal RNA is filed under the name uncultured bacterium. Its description in RNAcentral is "partial 16S ribosomal RNA". It matches the Rfam family "Bacterial small subunit ribosomal RNA", at positions 524 to 776 of the family's 1533-position model. The record is from RNAcentral.
UACGAGGGGGGCAAGCGUUGUUCGGAUUCAUUGGGCGUAAAGGGCGCGUAGGCGGCGGGGUAAGUCGGGUGUGAAAUCUCAGAGCUCAACUCUGAAACUGCACUCGAUACUGCUCUGCUUGAGGACUGGAGAGGAGACUGGAAUUCACGGUGUAGCAGUGAAAUGCGUAGAUAUCGUGAGGAAGACCAGUGGCGAAGGCGGGUCUCUGGACAGUUCCUGACGCUGAGGCGCGAAGGCCAGGGGAGCAAACGGG